RNAcentral lists this ribosomal RNA (650 nucleotides) under uncultured bacterium. RNAcentral describes it as "bacterial SSU rRNA". It matches the Rfam family "Bacterial small subunit ribosomal RNA", at positions 54 to 703 of the family's 1533-position model. The record is from RNAcentral.
CAUGCAAGUCGAGGGGUAACAGGGAGCUUGCUCCGCUGACGACCGGCGCACGGGUGCGUAACGCGUAUAGAAUCUGCCUUACACUGAGGGAUAGCCUUUGGAAACGAAGAUUAAUACCUCAUAGUAUCAUUUUAUGGCAUCAUAGAGUGAUUAAAGGUUACGGUGUAAGAUGACUAUGCGUCCUAUUAGCUUGUUGGUAAGGUAACGGCUUACCAAGGCUACGAUAGGUAGGGGCCCUGAGAGGGGGAUCCCCCACACUGGUACUGAGACACGGACCAGACUCCUACGGGAGGCAGCAGUGAGGAAUAUUGGACAAUGGAGGCAACUCUGAUCCAGCCAUGCCGCGUGAAGGAUGACUGCCCUAUGGGUUGUAAACUUCUUUUAUACAGGGAGAAACACUGGUACGUGUACCAGUUUGACGGUACUGUAUGAAUAAGCACCGGCUAACUCCGUGCCAGCAGCCGCGGUAAUACGGAGGGUGCAAGCGUUAUCCGGAAUCAUUGGGUUUAAAGGGUCCGUAGGCGGACUAAUAAGUCAGAGGUGAAAUCCCGCAGCUCAACUGUGGAACUGCCUUUGAAACUGUUAGUCUUGAGUUAUUGUGAAGUGGUUAGAAUAUGUAGUGUAGCGGUGAAAUGCUUAGAGAUUACAUG